Molecule: ribosomal RNA, 2320 nt
Filed under: Micrococcus lylae NBRC 15355
Lineage: Bacteria; Bacillati; Actinomycetota; Actinomycetes; Micrococcales; Micrococcaceae
Description: bacterial LSU rRNA
Rfam family: Bacterial large subunit ribosomal RNA
Source: RNAcentral
AGGGCGCAUGGUGGAUGCCUUGGCAACAGGAGCCGAAGAAGGACGUGGGAAUCUGCGAUAAGCCUGGUGGAGUCGAUAACCGGACGUUGAGACCAGGAUUUCCGAAUGGGGAAACCCCGCACGACGUGUCGUGUGACCACCGGUUGAACACAUAGGCCGGUUGGGGGGAACGUGGGGAAGUGAAACAUCUCAGUACCCACAGGAAGAGAAAACAAAAGUGAUUCCGUGAGUAGUGGCGAGCGAAAGCGGAUGGGGCUAAACCGUAUGUGUGUGAUACCCGGCAGGGGUUGCAUGUGCGGUGUUGUGGGCCUGCUCUUGGCGUGUCUGCCGGCACGUCGCGGUGAGGUGCGGGCGUAUAGACGAACGAUCUUGGAUGGUCGACCGUAGAGGGUGACAGUCCCGUAGUUGUAAUGCGUUCCGCCGCUGUUGAGUGGUUGCCCGAGUAGGACGGGGCUCGAGGAAUCCCGUGUGAAUCUGCCAGGACCACCUGGUAAGCCUGAAUACUACCUGUUGACCGAUAGUGAAUCAGUACCGUGAGGGAAUGGUGAAAAGUACCCCGGGAGGGGAGUGAAAUAGUACCUGAAACCAUGUGCCUACAAACCGUUGGAGCCUGCGUGUUCAGGUGACAGCGUGCCUUUUGAAGAAUGAGCCUGCGAGUUAGUGAUACGUGGCGAGGUUAACCCGUGUGGGGUAGCCGUAGCGAAAGCGAGUCUGAAUAGGGCGUUGAGUCGCGUGUCCUAGACCCGAAGCGGAGUGAUCUACCCAUGGCCAGGUUGAAGCGCGUGUAAGAGCGCGUGGAGGACCGAACCCACUUCAGUUGAAAAUGGAGGGGAUGAGCUGUGGGUAGGGGUGAAAGGCCAAUCAAACUCCGUGAUAGCUGGUUCUCCCCGAAAUGCAUUUAGGUGCAGCGUCACGUGUUUCUUCCCGGAGGUAGAGCUACUGGAUGGACGAUGGGCCCUACAAGGUUACUGACUUCAGCCAAACUCCGAAUGCCGGGUAAGUGAGAGCGUGGCAGUGAGACUGUGGGGGAUAAGCUUCAUAGUCGAGAGGGAAACAGCCCAGACCACCGGUUAAGGCCCCUAAGCGUGUGCUAAGUGGGAAAGGAUGUGGAGUUGCUGAGACAACCAGGAGGUUGGCUUAGAAGCAGCCACCCUUGAAAGAGUGCGUAAUAGCUCACUGGUCAAGUGAUUCCGCGCCGACAAUGUAGCGGGGCUCAAGUACACCGCCGAAGCCGUGGCGUUCAGUUUUUCUGGAUGGGUAGGGGAGCGUCGUGCACGAGGUGAAGCCAGCGGGUAACUUCUGGUGGAUUGUGCACGAGUGAGAAUGCAGGCAUGAGUAGCGAAAGACGGGUGAGAAACCCGUCCGCCGGAUGACUAAGGGUUCCAGGGUCAAGCUAAUCUUCCCUGGGUGAGUCGGGACCUAAGGCGAGGCCGACAGGCGUAGUCGAUGGACAACGGGUUGAUAUUCCCGUACCGGUGAAGGACCGUCCAUGCUGAUUCGGUGAUACUAACCGCCCGAAGCAUCCUCGACCUUGUUCUUUGAGCAGGGCGUGUGGUGUGGAGCGCGGGACCUGAACCGAGGAGGCAAGCGCAUUAACAGGUGUGACGCAGGAAGGUAGCCGGGCCAGGCAAUGGAAUCGACCUGGUCUAAGGGUGUAGGGCUGCCGGUAGGUAAAUCCGCCGGUUGUGUGCCUGAGACCUGAUGGGCGCCCACCAUGUGGGUGAUCCGGUGAUCCUAUGCUGCCUAGAAAAGCAUCGGCGUGAGGUUCUAGCCGCCCGUACCCGAAACCGACACAGGUAGUCAGGUAGAGAAUACUAAGGCGAUCGAGAGAAUCAUGGUUAAGGAACUCGGCAAAAUGCCCCCGUAACUUCGGGAGAAGGGGGGCCCUGACCUUGAGCACCACGUGCUGGUGUGAGGGGGUAGGGGCCGCAGAGACCAGGGGGAAGCGACUGUUUAUCAAAAACACAGGUCCGUGCGAAGUCGUAAGACGAUGUAUACGGACUGACUCCUGCCCGGUGCUGGAAGGUUAAGAGGACCCGUUAGCUUCGGCGAAGCGGAGAAUUUAAGCCCCAGUAAACGGCGGUGGUAACUAUAACCAUCCUAAGGUAGCGAAAUUCCUUGUCGGGUAAGUUCCGACCUGCACGAAUGGAGUAACGACUUCCCCGCUGUCUCAACUGUGAACUCGGCGAAAUUGCAUUGCGAGUAAAGAUGCUCGUUACGCGCAGAAGGACGGAAAGACCCCGUGACCUUUACUAUAGUUUGGUAUUGGUGUUCGGUGUUGCUUGUGUAGGAUAGGUGGGAGACUGUGAAGCCGGCACGC